UGAGGAAUAUUGGUCAAUGGACGGAAGUCUGAACCAGCCAAGUAGCGUGCAGGAUGACGGCCCUAUGGGUUGUAAACUGCUUUUGUAUGGGGAUAAAGUCAAUCACGUGUGAUUGUUUGCAGGUACCAUACGAAUAAGGACCGGCUAAUUCCGUGCCAGCAGCCGCGGUAAUACGGAAGGUCCGGGCGUUAUCCGGAUUUAUUGGGUUUAAAGGGAGCGUAGGCCGGAGAUUAAGUGUGUUGUGAAAUGUAGACGCUCAACGUCUGACUUGCAGCGCAUACUGGUUUCCUUGAGUACGCACAACGUUGGCGGAAUUCGUCGUGUAGCGGUGAAAUGCUUAGAUAUGACGAAGAACUCCGAUUGCGAAGGCAGCUGACGGGAGCGCAACUGACGCUGAAGCUCGAAGGUGCGGGUAUCGAACAGGAUUAGAUACCCUGGUAGUCCGCACAGUAAACGAUGGAUGCCCGCUGUUGGUACCUAGUAUCAGCGGCUAAGCGAAAGCAUUAAGCAUCCCACCUGGGGAGUACGCCGGNNCGGU
This 538-nucleotide ribosomal RNA is filed under the name uncultured bacterium. Its description in RNAcentral is "bacterial SSU rRNA". It matches the Rfam family "Bacterial small subunit ribosomal RNA", at positions 355 to 895 of the family's 1533-position model. The record is from RNAcentral.